RNAcentral lists this long non-coding RNA (810 nucleotides) under Rhinopithecus bieti (black snub-nosed monkey). RNAcentral describes it as "lncRNA (ENSRBIG00000045152.1)". Lineage: Eukaryota; Metazoa; Chordata; Mammalia; Primates; Cercopithecidae. The record is from RNAcentral.
UUAACUUUAAACUUAGUGUUACCUUAUUUAGCUUAAUUUAAUUUUGUCUUGUUUUUAGAUAUAACUUGACCAUUGAUGCAAAAAGCAAGUUGUCCCCAAAUCAGAUCUCUGCAAAUAUGGUGAGCAAUUAACUAUAUGCCCCAAAUUUCUCAACAUCAGGGUUGCUUCUGAUGCAUGCAAGCCUAAAGUCUGGAGACAUAUUUCCUGACAAUGAUUAUUAUCUUCUUUUAGAGUCUGUGCACUGCUUAUCUGCACAAAGUAAAGCAACUUUCAAACAAGCCAAAUCAACAUUCUUGCUUUAUUUUCAAACCUGAAGCACUUCCAUGUCUGUUCUACUUGAUAUAUGCAUGAAAUUGCAUAACUGUUUGACAAUGAUUCAGAGAGUUUUGGAGACAUCAGGAAGAAAACGUGAGACAGUCUGUUGGAACAAGAAUCACAUUCCCUCGUAGAGGGCCAGAAAGCUCCAGAUGAACAAUCCAGUGAGGAGUGAAUGCAUGUUUAGAGAGGUCAGACUUUGCGUAAUAGCCCAAAAGGUGACUAACCUCAGAAACUAUGUUUGUAACCAUCGUAUUACAAAAACAAGGAAUACCGACACAGGUGUUAGUGCCUCCUACUUUUGAAAGUCAUGACCACUCCUGGAUCUGGUAUAGCCAUCCUUUGAUCAGGGGACAAGAAAUCUAAGGAAGGGAAAUCAACAUAAUGAAUAUGGUACAGCAAUAAUGUGAGAACCCCCAGCUUGAUGAUGUCUUUGAGCUCUUGGACUAUCUUUGAAACUGUCUUCCUCUGGACUUUUACUAUGUAAAAUUAAAA